RNAcentral lists this ribosomal RNA (417 nucleotides) under Triticum aestivum (bread wheat). RNAcentral describes it as "partial small subunit ribosomal RNA". Lineage: Eukaryota; Viridiplantae; Streptophyta; Magnoliopsida; Poales; Poaceae. The record is from RNAcentral.
AUGGCGUGCCGAGAGCCUCGAGAGCACCUCAACUUCCCAGAGAUCGAGAGUCGGGCGGAAGCGGAGAUGCUUGUGCCGCAGGGCAUCAAGAUGAAGGAGAUCACGACGAAGAAGACGAAGACGAAGAAGCCGUCAGUCGUUGUCAAUGCCGGCGAGACCGACGAGGAGGCGAUGACGAGGUUUGCUCGGGAGCAUCCGGAGUACAUCCAUGCUGAGCUGGAGUACUACCGGAAGCGUGAGGCGGAGCAGAAGAAGAAGGAGGACGAGGCCGGUCCCUCGACGGUGAUCCCCAUCGUGUCCUCUUCCGAGGAGGACUGGGCAGACUUCUCGGAGGAGGAGGAGGAGGAGGAGGGGUGCGAUGACUUGGAGAAGGAGGAGUUCUGGGCGCAGUUCCGCAGCUCCGACGAUGAGGAGUAG